UGGGUUUAAGGGUCCGUAGGCGGAUUUGUAAGUCAGUGGUGAAAGUUUGCGGCUCAACCGUAAAAUUGCCAUUGAUACUGCAAGUCUUGAAUCAUUGUGAAGUGGUUAGAAUAUGUAGUGUAGCGGUGAAAUGCAUAGAUAUUACAUAGAAUACCGAUUGCGAAGGCAGAUCACUAACAAUGUAUUGACGCUAAGGGACGAAAGCGUGGGUAGCGAACAGGAUUAGAUACCCUGGUAGUCCACGCCGUAAACGAUGGUCACUAGCUGUUUGGUUUUCGGACUGAGUGGCUAAGCGAAAGUGAUAAGUGACCCACCUGGGGAGUACGUUCGCAAGAAUGAAACUCAAAGGAAUUGACGGGGGCCCGCACAAGCGGUGGAGCAUG
This 383-nucleotide ribosomal RNA is filed under the name Flavobacteriales bacterium TrichAT22. RNAcentral describes it as "bacterial SSU rRNA". It matches the Rfam family "Bacterial small subunit ribosomal RNA", at positions 555 to 941 of the family's 1533-position model. Lineage: Bacteria; Pseudomonadati; Bacteroidota; Flavobacteriia; Flavobacteriales. The record is from RNAcentral.